RNAcentral lists this ribosomal RNA (484 nucleotides) under uncultured bacterium. RNAcentral describes it as "partial 16S ribosomal RNA". It matches the Rfam family "Bacterial small subunit ribosomal RNA", at positions 30 to 507 of the family's 1533-position model. The record is from RNAcentral.
AUUGAACGCUGGCGGCAGGCCUAACACAUGCAAGUCGAGCGGAUGAAGGGAGCUUGCUCCUGGAUUCAGCGGCGGACGGGUGAGUAAUGCCUAGGAAUCUGCCUGGUAGUGGGGGAUAACGUCCGGAAACGGGCGCUAAUACCGCAUACGUCCUGAGGGAGAAAGUGGGGGAUCUUCGGACCUCACGCUCUCAGAUGAGCCUAGGUCGGAUUAGCUAGUUGGUGGGGUAAAGGCCUACCAAGGCGAGGAUCCGUAACUGGUCUGAGAGGAUGAUCAGUCACACUGGAACUGAGACACGGUCCAGACUCCUACGGGAGGCAGCAGUGGGGAAUAUUGGACAAUGGGCGAAAGCCUGAUCCAGCCAUGCCGCGUGUGUGAAGAAGGUCUUCGGAUUGUAAAGCACUUUAAGUUGGGAGGAAGGGCAGUAAGUUAAUACCUUGCUGUUUUGACGUUACCAACAGAAUAAGCACCGGCUAACUUCGUG